UGCGCUCUAAGGGCACUGUUGCC
Molecule: unclassified non-coding RNA, 23 nt
Filed under: Mus musculus (house mouse)
Lineage: Eukaryota; Metazoa; Chordata; Mammalia; Rodentia; Muridae
Description: oocyte_clustered_small_RNA9745
Source: RNAcentral